CCCCCAAAUUAACAAAGCAAUGCCUAAAUAUUGAGACAUUCCUGUUAAACCUGGAUUCAAAUAGCAUUGGUUUAUCUGUAUAAUUUCAAUGUAAAUUUGGCAGCUACUAGUGUCUGAGAGGAAAAUAAACAGACGAGAGCAACAAUAAACCUGGAGGUUGCCGGGUGCAGUGACGCGCACCUGUAAUCUCAGUGACUAGGGAAGCUGAGGCAGG
Molecule: long non-coding RNA, 214 nt
Filed under: Marmota monax (woodchuck)
Lineage: Eukaryota; Metazoa; Chordata; Mammalia; Rodentia; Sciuridae
Source: RNAcentral